RNAcentral lists this small RNA (577 nucleotides) under Pan troglodytes (chimpanzee). RNAcentral's name for it is "processed transcript". The record is from RNAcentral. Lineage: Eukaryota; Metazoa; Chordata; Mammalia; Primates; Hominidae.
GCAGAUGCUCCAGGUCAGGCACUGGAUCCGCCCGGGCUGUGGGUCCGCGACUCCUUGGCGUCCCCGGGCCGCAGCUGCGCUGCCAUGUCCACGCAGAGACUUCGGAAUGAAGACUACCACGACUACAGCUCCACGGACGUGAGCCCCGAGGAGAGCCCGUCGGAAGGCCUCAACAACCUCUCCUCCCCGGGCUCCUACCAGCGCUUUGGUCAAAGCAACAGCACAACACUUAUGCCAUUCCUGAUGACUGCCCAAGCGGACCAUGGAAGCUUCUCCUGGGCUCAUCACUGGAGAAGCUCCCUCUGCCUGCACUGUCUGCUGAUGGUUCCAGACCUUGAUCCACCUGUUAAAAGGCAACAUUGGCACAGGACUCCUGGGACUCCCUCUGGCGGUGAAAAAUGCAGGCAUCGUGAUGGGUCCCAUCAGCCUGCUGAUCAUAGGCAUCGUGGCCGUGCACUGCAUGGGUAUCCUGGUGAAAUGUGCUCACCACUUCUGCCGCAGGCUGAAUAAAUCCUUUGUGGAUUAUGGUGAUACUGUGAUGUAUGGACUAGAAUCCAGCCCCUGCUCCUGGCUCCGG